UCAGGACGAACGCUGGCGGCGUGCCUAAUACAUGCAAGUCGAGCGGACCUCUUCGGAGGUCAGCGGCGGACGGGUGAGUAACACGUGGGCAACCUGCCUGUAAGACUGGGAUAACUCCGGGAAACCGGAGCUAAUACCGGAUAGUAUCUUGAACCGCAUGGUUCAAGUUGGAAAGACGGUUUCGGCUGUCACUUACAGAUGGGCCCGCGGCGCAUUAGCUAGUUGGUGAGGUAAUGGCUCACCAAGGCAACGAUGCGUAGCCGACCUGAGAGGGUGAUCGGCCACACUGGGACUGAGACACGGCCCAGACUCCUACGGGAGGCAGCAGUAGGGAAUCUUCCGCAAUGGACGAAAGUCUGACGGAGCAACGCCGCGUGAGUGAUGAAGGUUUUCGGAUCGUAAAACUCUGUUGUUAGGGAAGAACAAGUGCGAGAGUAACUGCUCGCACCUUGACGGUACCUAACCAGAAAGCCACGGCUAACUACGUGCCAGCAGCCGCGGUAAUACGUAGGUGGCAAGCGUUGUCCGGAAUUAUUGGGCGUAAAGCGCGCGCAGGCGGUUUCUUAAGUCUGAUGUGAAAGCCCCCGGCUCAACCGGGGAGGGUCAUUGGAAACUGGGAAACUUGAGUGCAGAAGAGGAGAGUGGAAUUCCACGUGUAGCGGUGAAAUGCGUAGAGAUGUGGAGGAACACCAGUGGCGAAGGCGACUCUCUGGUCUGUAACUGACGCUGAGGCGCGAAAGCGUGGGGAGCGAACAGGAUUAGAUACCCUGGUAGUCCACGCCGUAAACGAUGAGUGCUAAGUGUUAGAGGGUUUCCGCCCUUUAGUGCUGCAGCUAACGCAUUAAGCACUCCGCC
RNAcentral lists this ribosomal RNA (855 nucleotides) under Bacillus sp. (in: firmicutes). RNAcentral's name for it is "bacterial SSU rRNA". It matches the Rfam family "Bacterial small subunit ribosomal RNA", at positions 24 to 873 of the family's 1533-position model. Lineage: Bacteria; Bacillati; Bacillota; Bacilli; Caryophanales; Bacillaceae. The record is from RNAcentral.